UUCCUUUGCAUCCUAUAAAAAAAUAUAGGAAGAAUUAAAAACUCAUAAAUUAUACAUGCAACAACGAAUAAAUACAAUUGAAACAAUAACUUUCAUAAAAAUUUGAAAGAAAAAAAAAAAAAAAAACUAGAACUAAUAUAAAAUGAAAUGAGAAAAUUUUUAGAAAAAUAAAUGAGUUAGAGUCUAUCACUUGAGGAUAAAAUGUUGUCCACUAAUUAAGUAGAAAAACUUUAUAAUAAAAUAGUGAUUCCUUAGUAAAUAAAAUAAAGUAAAAUCUUCAAGAGUAACGUAGUUCCAAAUAUGAUAUAACAUCAAAAAGUUAAAAAUAACGAAUCAUGGUACACCAAAACAACAAAAGGAUAAAUGAAACAUAAUAUAAAUAACUAACCAAAAUAAAUGUUCUACAAGCAAAGUUGUGAACAUAAAAAAUUCAAACAUACAAAGGAAAUACCAAAGAAAUAAACACACAGAAAAUACCAAAGGAAUACAAGACUAGGUGGAUGGCUUAUCUAGAGAUUCAAAAACUAUAAAUAAGGAGGGGGGAAGAUGUAAAAAGAAAUUUCCCUUAUCAUUAAUUUUCAUGUUAUAUUUUCUUAAAAAUUUUCAAAUCCUGAAAUCAUGAUAGGUUAGGCUCUAGACAUGACAUUUUUUUCAUUAACUUUUUUAUAGGUUGCUUUCUAAUAGAAGUAAAUUAAUUUUUUCAUUCAAUCAUCACUCAUCCUUUUUUAUUGGUCAAAUGGAAAAAAGAAAAAUAGAUAUACAUAUAUUUAAAAGCAAAUUAUUGAUUUUGAAAAAUGUUUCAGGGCAUUUUCAAGGUUGAUAAAAGGAUAACAAUUGAACAAAAUUUUCAUUCAUUCACCACAAAAAAAGAAAAUGUUGUUCAACUCCUUCCAUCUAUAAAGUGAACUAGUUAGUACAAAAUAGAAAAUCAAUUUUAUUAAAAGGAAAAGGUAAAGUUCAAUUUUCAUUCAUGUCAUCACAAAAAUUAAAUGGUUGCUCAACUCCUUCCAUCUAAACUAACUAGUUAGUACAAAAUAGAAAAUCAAUAUUACUAAAAAGAAAAGGUAAAUAAUAAAGAAAAAUUUUUAUUCGAAAAUACAAAAGAUUCACGCAAUUAUACCUUUUUCUUCUUCUCCCUUUUUCUCAUUUUGCCUCAUGAAAUGGAUCUAAGCAAGAGAAAACAAGAAAGCACCCACAUUAAGAUAUUGCAUGUAUUAUGGUAAAAAGUUAACAAGAGAAACUUGAAAGUAUAAACUAGAAGACUUAAACAAAUUUAAACAAAAGAAAAAAAGAAACAAGAAAAGAAAAGAAUAGAAAAUGAUUAAUACAAAGAUUGGACUUUUUUUUUUUAUAAUAUAAAAACCUAAAAAAUUAUAAAACCAACAAAAGUAAAGAAUAAAAAUGAAUGAGAUAGUAAUGAAUAACAUAUUGUCUCUUUUGAAUGAAUAACAUUGAUAAUAAAUUGAAAUGUUAAUGAGACAACAACCUUACUUGACAUGCCCGGAAGAACAUUAUUUCUAUGGAUCAAGUAGGUUACUUAAUCUACAAUAUCCUUCAUCUGAGAUAGAAUUCAUCAAUGGAAAUAUUAAGUAUUGACGAUAUUAUAUCUUAGAAAUCAAAUUGUGAUACUUCUAAGAUAACUUUUUCCCCUUAAUUUAACAACACAAUCAUCGCAUAUUCCAUCUUUAGUAACUUCAAGUACAUAUCCAAUGCAACAAGAAGGAGAACAACCCAAUAAAAGAAAAAAGAAAAUUGGGAGAAAAGGGAAAAUAAAAUAAAAUCUUGAAUCCUUUGUUAUUACGAGUUUUAAGCUUCCCAAAGUGAAAAUCUUACCUUUGUAAGCUUGACAGUUUCAUGUUACCUCCUGUCAAGUAGAUUUUGGUUUUUCUGUCCAAAAAUCAUAAAAGAAUUCAAGGUUCAAAACUUUGAUUUCUUUUCCUUUCUAACCCAUUUCUCAAUAACCAAAUAGAUCAUAAUUUAAAAAAUCCGUAACAAAAAUAUUAAUAAAUGGUAUGAGAAUGAAAAACAUCAUAGUUGAACAAUCUAAGUAAAGAUGAAAAUUGUCCAUGGUUUUUUAUGAAGAGAUACCAUAGAUCUAACAUACUAUGGCACCAUAAAACGUCACUAAAACACCAACUCUCCUUUCAAUUGCUAAGAAAAUGUAAGAAAAUUAACAAACACAAAAGAACCAAAACAGACUCAAAUACUAAACUUUAUAUGUUUAAUACCUUUCUAAAUGCCUUCUCAAAUGCUGCAACCAUCUCCAAAAUCGAAGUUCCUUUCCCAGUUCUCAAGUUGUACACUUCACAACUUGUUGUAGGAUAUCUCAUGAAAAUCAAUAUUGACAAGGUUUACUUCCCAUUUACUCAAGUGAUUUAUGACAAUGUCUAGUUCUAACCUCUCCUCAAAAAUUCAAUAUGCAAGUGCCUGCAGAGCUUGAAUUUUUUUAAUACAAGAAACAUUUUCUUUUCUAGGUGGUAGGUUAGGGAAGUAACAAAUACCAACACUUACUCAAGGAAGGGUUGGAGAGUGGGACCUACUAAAGAAACUUUUUUCUGACUAUUUUCAUUGCCCUAAGAAAAAUAUAGAAUCAACAACAUCCAUUGAAAUUAAUGACAUAAAAAAACUGCUAAAUUUCCUAGAAUAUUUCAGAAAUAGUGAUAUUCAACCUUGUAAACCCGAAAAUAAUCAGCAAUGGCAACCCUCUAUUCAUUGGUCAACUUGAAGAUGAUUGAAGUAUGAUCCAAAUCUUUAGAUGUUGUACAUAUAAGAAACCAGAGAAAAAAGAAAUUAUGAAAUGUUUAAGACAAGACCGAACACAUUAUACUCGGUUGAAUGUAUAAACAUAUAUGCCUUACCUCUAAGGGUAGUAUCAAUCACUUUAAUAGCUACUGCCAUUUGUGGCUAGCAAUCCAAGCAAACAUCAACACCCAAGCAGCAGAAGGGCAAGGAACAACUCUAAAGACACUUGAAAGAAGGGAGUAGCCAACACAAAUUCCAUUAGCAUGCACAAGAUACUUGCAUGACACCAACCAUCAUCAUCUUGAGAAAGCAAAAGAGAAGGAAAAAGGAAAAAUCUCCAUAAUCUGAUUUGCAUGCACACCCCUAGCUAAUACUAGAGCUUUCAAGUGAACUAAUUGUAGUAGUUGGAUUUUGAUUAAGAAUGGGUUGGGGCUCCAAUAAUUAUGGGGUGGUUCUACUUAAAUAGAAAUGGAUAUGAGGUGGAUACUUAUGUUAGGUGUCCCCGACUAAGAUCCUUUAAACCACCCUUCUAUUUAUACUUAAGAAAUAAAUUGAAUACUUUAAUUCACUCCUGACCAAAAAAAUGCAAACUCGGAAACGUAAACCCUUAUGAAACCUCAAAAGAAGUGAUCUAAAUGAAAUGAAUAAAAGUAUAUCAAAGUAAACCCUCUUAGGACUAGUCAUGUAAGUAUCCAAAAAAAUCUCCACACUGAGUAAUUAAACAAAUAGAACGAGUAAUAGGAAUCAAAGUGCAUGAUUUUCUAUACGAGAAACUUUAAGAUGAGACCCCUUCAUAACUUUUCAAGUCAUGAAAAUUAACAAAAAAUCAAACAGCAAAAGAAAACUAAAUGUUAUUUCUUGUAAAUGAAUGAAGUCCAAAGUGGUUAAUUAUUAUGUUUCUACAGUCUGAAGAAGUAAUCUCUAAAACCCAUUCAUGAUGAAUAACACUACACACAACAAGGAAAUGAUAUGGGAAUGGAAAAAUAGUACCUGAAGGCUCCAAGGUUAGAGUAAGAGAGGUUGUCAAAGUCAUUGGUCUGAGAGUUUCUGAGUAGAGAGCCACAGUUGAAAAAAAAAAUUAUUAAUUAAAUACUCAAUAUAUCAUGUGGUGAAUUUAUUUUCAGUUUGAUUUUUUUUUUAAAUUGAAAUUUCUUUUAAUACUUGAAAAAGAUGAUAAAAGCAUAUAAAAAAAACAUAGCAAUAGCUAGAUUUAAAUUGUUUAGAUAUGAUUUUAUAGGUUAAAGAACUGUAAUAAUCCAUUGAAAAAAAUAGUUAAGAGAUAAUUGAUGUAAUUUUUAACAAAAAAUUAUAGGGGCUUGUACUAUAUUUUUUAACAAAUACCAAUUUUUAUUGCUUUUGGUAUAAUGUGUACAAAUUUAAUUAUAAUUUAUAAAGUAACCUUUGUGCAAAUUUAUAAAUUCAUAAUAGCAUUAUGUCCAACAUCUUUUAGCCACAAUUUGUACUCUCAACUUCUAAGUUGAUGCCCAUAUUUUGUCACUUCAUAAUAAUGUCUCCAUGAGCAAAGAUUAUGCACAUUUUAAUCAUUGGAACUCUCCAUCUAUUAAUCUUUUUUUUUUUUUUUGGGUUACAAAAUGGAGAAAAGAUAUGUGAAUUUCAUUUUGCUUUUGGGCACCCAGUGGCUGAAGGUUCAAGGCGCCUGUUAUCUUCGUACCAUAAUUCUAGUAAAUACUGAAAUGGAAAUCUUUGGUUUAUGCAUAGACUCAAUAAUUAAAAAUAAGAUAAAAAUAAAUUCAACAAAAAUCAACCUUAUGAUGACCAAAAGGAUAAAAACUCUCCACUUCUCCACAUCAACCAACGUCUUUGCCACAGGCAAGGCUCAUGGUGAUGGACCAACAAAAAUAAGCUUGAAACAAAAUGAUACUCUUACCCAUGGGGACAAUGUCCAUGCUAAUAAACUCAUUUUUUUUAAAGACUACACUAGGGAAAUCCAAGUCAUGAAGAACAGAAUCUCAAACUUGCCAUUCAAAAAUCUCCAAACACAGGUUCAAAUUGUUGUGUCAAUCUCGCUGACUUUGAAUUCAAACCCUAAAAGUAUUGUUCAAAACCACACAACACAUUAUAAAAUCAAUCCUAAAAUGAGAAAACUAGAUUUUAAAAUCCCAAACAUAUGAAUCUAAAAUAACAAAACCCAAACAUAAAAUCAAAACUAAAAUCAACCUCAAUAAAUUUCAGAAACGACAAAUUAAAAUAGUAAAGCACAAAAGGGGGAAAACACAUAUGAAACAAUCUUUAUACAAGCCCUAACCAUAGAUAAACCCAAAAAAAAAAAAAAAAUCAAAGCAGAGAGUUACCAUUGAGCAUCUCUGUUUCAAGCUUAGAAAAGGUUUAAUGCCAUUGAUAACUAGCUGGUUAAUAGUGGACUUCAAGCUUCUGUAUUUCGGCGUUAGUAGCUCUCAACGGCUAUGGUGAGAACAAAGAAAUGAGAGGCUUAGGGUUUGGGAUGUGAGGUUAUCGAUGAUGAUGAGGAUAAAGUUAUGGGCUCUUGGGAGGUUAGGGAAAUUGAAGAUGGCUGAGGGUAAAGGCUAGGGUUUUUGAGAUAGUUAAUAGCUUUUUAGGGUGUGAGUGUCCAUAGAUAAAAGAUAAAUGAGGGUAUGAGAAUUCAUAGAUCUUUAGGUGAUAUGUCGGGUGUGAGAAUGAAAUUUUAGAGGGAAUUGUGUGUUUGGCAAAAAUUUCACAUAUGUAUAUAUAAUGUUUU
Molecule: long non-coding RNA, 5458 nt
Filed under: Vitis vinifera (wine grape)
Lineage: Eukaryota; Viridiplantae; Streptophyta; Magnoliopsida; Vitales; Vitaceae
Description: long non-coding RNA (VVIN_LNC001853)
Source: RNAcentral